UUCUCUUGAGAGCGGCGGACGGGUGAGUAAUCCCUAGGAAUCUGCCUGGUAGUGGGGGAUAACGUUCGGAAACGGACGCUAAUACCGCAUACGUCCUACGGGAGAAAGCAGGGGACCUUCGGGCCUUGCGCCAUCAGAUGAGCCUAGGUCGGAUUAGCUAGUUGGUGAGGUAAUGGCUCACCAAGGCUACGAUCCGUAACUGGUCUGAGAGGAUGAUCAGUCACACUGGUAACUGAGACACGGUCCAGACUCCUACGGGCAGGCAGCAGUGGGGAAUAUUGGACAAUGGGCGAAAGCCUGAUCCAGCCAUGCCGCGUGUGUGAAGAAGGUCUUCGGAUUGUAAAGCACUUUAAGUUGGGAGGAAGGGCAGUUACCUAAUACGUGAUUGUUUUGACGUUACCGACAGAAUAAGCACCGGCUAACUCUGUGCCAGCAGCCGCG
RNAcentral lists this ribosomal RNA (441 nucleotides) under Pseudomonadales bacterium HD-C-02-3. RNAcentral describes it as "bacterial SSU rRNA". It matches the Rfam family "Bacterial small subunit ribosomal RNA", at positions 84 to 519 of the family's 1533-position model. Lineage: Bacteria; Pseudomonadati; Pseudomonadota; Gammaproteobacteria; Pseudomonadales. The record is from RNAcentral.